RNAcentral lists this ribosomal RNA (456 nucleotides) under uncultured bacterium. Its description in RNAcentral is "bacterial SSU rRNA". It matches the Rfam family "Bacterial small subunit ribosomal RNA", at positions 1 to 507 of the family's 1533-position model. The record is from RNAcentral.
CACGAGUUUGAUCCUGGCUCAGAACGAACGCUGGCGGCAUGCCUAACACAUGCAAGUCGAACGAGACCUUCGGGUCUAGUGGCGCACGGGUGCGUAACGCGUGGGAACCUGCCUUUAGGUUCGGAAUAACUCAGAGAAAUUUGAGCUAAUACCGGAUAAUGUCUUCGGACCAAAGAUUUAUCGCCUUUAGAUGGGCCCGCGUUGGAUUAGCUAGUUGGUGGGGUAAAGGCCUACCAAGGCGACGAUCCAUAGCUGGUCUGAGAGGAUGAUCAGCCACACUGGGACUGAGACACGGCCCAGACUCCUACGGGAGGCAGCAGUGGGGGAAUAUUGGACAAUGGGCGAAAGCCUGAUCCAGCAAUGCCGCGUGAGUGAUGAAGGCCUUCGGGUUGUAAAGCUCUUUUACUCGGGACGAUAAUGACGGUACCGAGAGAAUAAGCCCCGGCUAACUCCGUG